GAUGAACGCUGGCGGCGUGCCUAAUACAUGCAAGUCGAGCGAACGGACGAGAAGCUUGCUUUUCUGAUGUUAGCGGCGGACGGGUGAGUAACACGUGGAUAACCUACCUAUAAGACUGGGAUAACUUCGGGAAACCGGAGCUAAUACCGGAUAAUAUUUUGAACCGCAUGGUUCAAAAGUGAAAGACGGUCUUGCUGUCACUUAUAGAUGGAUCCGCGCUGCAUUAGCUAGUUGGUAAGGUAACGGCUUACCAAGGCAACGAUGCAUAGCCGACCUGAGAGGGUGAUCGGCCACACUGGAACUGAGACACGGUCCAGACUCCUACGGGAGGCAGCAGUAGGGAAUCUUCCGCAAUGGGCGAAAGCCUGACGGAGCAACGCCGCGUGAGUGAUGAAGGUCUUCGGAUCGUAAAACUCUGUUAUUAGGGAGGAACAUAUGUGUAAGUAACUGUGAACAUCUUGACGGUACCUAAUCAGAAAGCCACGGCUAACUACGUG
Molecule: ribosomal RNA, 497 nt
Filed under: uncultured bacterium
Lineage: Bacteria
Description: partial 16S ribosomal RNA
Rfam family: Bacterial small subunit ribosomal RNA
Source: RNAcentral